GACGAACGCUGGCGGCGUGCUUAACACAUGCAAGUCGAACGGAAAGACCCUGCUUUUGUGGGGUGCUCGAGCGGCGAACGGGUGAGUAACACGUGAGUAACCUGCCCUUGACUUUGGGAUAACUUCAGGAAACUGGGGCUAAUACCGGAUAGGAGCUCCUGCUGCAUGGUGGGGGUUGGAAAGUUUCGGCGGUUGGGGAUGGACUCGCGGCUUAUCAGCUUGUUGGUGGGGUAGUGGCUUACCAAGACUUUGACGGGUAGCCGGCCUGAGAGGGUGACCGGCCACAUUGGGACUGAGAUACGGCCCAGACUCCUACGGGAGGCAGCAGUGGGGAAUAUUGCACAAUGGGCGGAAGCCUGAUGCAGCAACGCCGCGUGCGGGAUGACGGCCUUCGGGUUGUAAACCGCUUUCGCCUGUGACGAAGCGUGAGUGACGGUAAUGGGUAAAGAAGCACCGGCUAACUACGUG
RNAcentral lists this ribosomal RNA (468 nucleotides) under uncultured bacterium. Its description in RNAcentral is "partial 16S ribosomal RNA". It matches the Rfam family "Bacterial small subunit ribosomal RNA", at positions 28 to 507 of the family's 1533-position model. The record is from RNAcentral.